Molecule: ribosomal RNA, 423 nt
Filed under: uncultured bacterium
Lineage: Bacteria
Description: bacterial SSU rRNA
Rfam family: Bacterial small subunit ribosomal RNA
Source: RNAcentral
AAGACCUUGCGCUUUUGGAGCGGCCGAUGCCUGAUUAGCUUGUUGGUAAGGUAAAAGCUUACCAAGGCUUCGAUCAGUAGCUGGUCUGARAGGACGACCAGCCACACUGGGACUGAGACACGGCCCAGACUCCUACGGGAGGCAGCAGUGGGGAAUUUUGGACAAUGGGGGCAACCCUGAUCCAGCCAUGCCGCGUGAGUGAAGAAGGCCUUCGGGUUGUAAAGCUCUUUCAGCCGGAACGAAACGGUUACGGUUAAUACCCGUGAUUACUGACGGUACCGGAAGAAGAAGCACCGGCUAACUACGUGCCAGCAGCCGCGGUAAUACGUAGGGUGCGAGCGUUAAUCGGAAUUACUGGGCGUAAAGUGUGCGCAGGUGGUUUUGUAAGUCAGAUGUGAAAGCCCCGGGCUCAACCUGGGAACU